Molecule: long non-coding RNA, 3138 nt
Filed under: Pan troglodytes (chimpanzee)
Lineage: Eukaryota; Metazoa; Chordata; Mammalia; Primates; Hominidae
Description: lincRNA
Source: RNAcentral
AGUUAUGACACAACACAAUGCCCUCACCAGAAGCAACCAGAGGCAGACCCUCGACCUUGGACUUCCCAGCAUCCAGAACUCAUAAGAUUUACCUUUAUUUUUUAAUAUUGGAGAACUUGCCAUGUAAAUCCUAACAUGUGGAUGAACUAAAUACCUGGGGAGUUCAUCAUCUCUCACAAACCAAAUCCAGAGAAAAAACUUCCUGACACAAGAAAAAAUUGCAGUUAAAUGGAAAAUAAAUAAAGCAAAUGAAAAUUGGAAUGUGGAGCAUUUUGCAUGCCAGAUAAGAAAGGGCAUGUGACAAAGGAGAGCCAUUUCUUCCAUUUGAGAUUGGAGGGGGAAGAGUCCAAGGCUAGAAUCAUGUGGCUGACCAGGCUCCUGGGACUUCCACAUCUGCACAAUGGAUCAUGCAAAGGUCUGCAGCUUCACUCCUGAGCCAGCGAGACCACGAACCUACCAGAAGGAAGAAACUCCGAACACAUCCCAACAUCAGAAGGAACAAACUCCAGACGCGCCACCUUAAGAGCUGUAACACUCACCGCGAGGGUCCGCUGCUUCAUUCUUGAAGUCAGUGAGACCAAGAACCCACCAAUUCCGGACACACUAUCCUGGGGGAGCAGCCUGGCCCUAAAAGAGACUUGUGCGUGACCCCAGGAGACCCACUGACAUGGAUCAGGAAACUGCUUUAGAAUCCCAGGAACAGGGCUACGACCAAACUCCGUACUCUCCCAUUUGCCUGUCAUGUGUCAGCAUCUCUGUAUUGUCACUGGUGUAUUAAAAAUCUUGGCCUAAACAAAACAAACAAACAAAAAUGAAAUCCUGCUGUUUACCUAGUUUAGCUGCAAGGACCAGAAAACUCAAAAUAACAGUGGCCUAAACAAGAUAGACAUGCAUUUCUAUCUUACCUAAAUGAAAUCAGUAGGUGUAAAAAGUCCACAACUGCUGUUACGGCAGUCUCAAAAAGUCCUCAAGGGUCUAGACUCAGCCUCCCUCUUCCCUCUUUGCCAUCACUGGAGUGGUCCAUGUUCCAGUCCACAAAGUGGGGAAAGAAAAAGGACAUGGUUUUCUCUUAGAAAAGGUGUGAGAAGCUGCGAAACAUUUCUGUUUACAUCUCAUUGGCCAGAAUGCAGUCACAAGAUCAAAAUCAUACCUAGCCACAGGGAAGCUGGAAAAACCUAGUCUCUCAGACGAAGGAGUGUCUUCGAGGGAAUGACAAACUGUAUCUGUCUACCAUGCUUGAAAUGCAAGAGUCCCGUCAGCUAGGGUUCAUUCUUGGGAACCACUUCAACUUGUCUUCUUCAGAGAAGCACUUCAGUGGGACCAGAGAGAACACUGCGCAUCCCAGGAUCGCAGCCACUGGACUCCAGCAACUCGAGGAAGAGGCAGCCAUUGAUACCAGACCUAGAAUUCACUAAAGGUCAAUGCCUUCAGGAAUUUUCAUCUGAUUUGAUGAUUGAUGCCCUCCGCAUCAUGAGCCCAGGAAGACUCCCAUGCCAUGUUCCAGCUGAGGCACCCAACAGCAAUGAUGUUUUGUGAAAAUAGUGUGUGAUUUGGAUGCAAAUGAUCCUGGGUUCAAGACUUGCUUCUGUAAAGAAGAGAAUACCACACUCUCCUCUCCCAGUCACGUGGGGAGUUAAUCGAAACCCACGGAAAGUGCAUUGCAUAAGGUGGGUGUCGGAUAAAUGCCCACACCUUUGGCUUCUCCUCUACUGAUAACUCUUUUUCCCUCAUCUUCCUGAUGUAAAAGGUGAGUGGGAGCCUUUAUGCCUUUCCCUGAAAGUAGAAGCCAGCCUCACCCCAGCCUGUGAGGCUGCUGAACCAGCCUCUUGCCCUUUCCUGCGUUUCUCAGGGCUUCCACCCUCCCCUCAGGCCCUUUCACCUCUCCAUGUCAUCUCUUUAUUCAGUUCUCCACCAAGCCUUCCCCGCUACCUUCAGGAAGCUUUGCAAACUGGCACGAAACCCUAAAUUCACAGUAUAGAGUCUGGAAUGCACUCCCCACUGCUUGGUGAUCCAUCAUACCAUACUGUUUUCUGCUUAUCUUUCUCUAAGACAACCUGUACCCUCAAUCUGGUGCCACUUAACAUGGCAAUAAGAGUGUAGUAAGUAGGGCCACUUCACAUGGGCUCAUUUAUGUAGAUGCUUGUUCUUUCAAGCUUGUCACCCCCAAUUCAGUAUCUACUACAGAUACAUUGACAGGGCUUGGAAAUUGACCAGAGUAUGAUCUUCCAUGCCUUCAAAUUGCUGUGUGGGGCUUCUGAGAAGACAAACUUUGGAAAUUGCCCCUCUUUUGCAGAGGAUUCAGCGGAACUCAGGAAUAUGCCAGUACCCACCUACCCUGUGGUAGCCAGCCUCUAAAAAAUAGUCUCCAGCGAUUUCUGGCUUCCAAUACUCACACUCUAAUAUGGUCCCCUCCCACACUGUAUCAGGGUUGGUGUGUAACCAGUAGAGUGCAGGAGGAGUGGUAGAUACCACUCUGGAAGAGAGACUAUGGAUGUCAUUUGGCCCUGUCUUGCUUUCCCUUGGAUCACUUGCUCUGGUGGAAGCCAGUGGCCAGUCUCAUGGACAGUUGGGCAGCCCAGUGGACGACCUAACAGUUCGACUGCCACUUCAUGGAAGACCCUGAGCCAGAACAAGUUAGUUAAGCUGCUCCCAGAUUCCUGACCCUCAGAAGCAGUGUGAAAGACAAAUACCAGACUGACACAUUUUUGGCAAGUUUUUGUGCAGCUAUAGAUAACUAACACAAACUUUCUAUUCCAAAUUACCACUACUUACCUCCCCCUGCAGAAAUGUCCACCACUUACAAAGGUAUAGCUGAAGCCCAUCUAAGGUGAGCCAAGUUUACUUAUAAUUGAAAACAAAUUAUAUGUACUUUAAAAGUAUUUGAGCACCAUUUUAUUGCCAAACAAUACACCCAACAAAGUCAAACAACCUAACUUCCCUUAACAAGAAUAUCAGGUUUGUCUAUAUUAUGAUUGGAAACAAACAUAAAUUAUAUUUGUUUUCCUAGACAGUCUAAGGUUUCAAUGGAUUGCUGUAAAAGAAUUUGAAGAAAGCUGCACCAACUGGUGUUUUGAAAUUCAAAUACCCUUAGUUUAAGCCACAAUAAAUGAAAUAAAACCAAUACAUGAAAUCAAACCA